This is a long non-coding RNA of Venturia canescens, 842 nucleotides long. RefSeq lists it as uncharacterized. The record is from RefSeq and is a predicted model, not a curated record. Lineage: Eukaryota; Metazoa; Arthropoda; Insecta; Hymenoptera; Ichneumonidae. The transcript has 4 exons.
CUUCAUUCUCUCUCGUGCAUACAGCAGGGAAUUCCUUCUACCUCCGAGUGACAAUGACUCCGAAGCUGUGAAGAUAACUUAACUCAGACGUCCGAGUUUUUCAACUGAACUCUAUUGAUAUUUGAACCUGGAACGACAACUCGGCUUACUCGGCGUUUCGAGAGAGACAGUCGAAGUGUGUACAGCUACCUUUGUCGGUACAGUCCACCGUAAAAAAAAUUGAGAGCUCAACGCUUCAAGGUGGCACUUGCACCGUGAUUCUCGCCGAGACUUAACUUGUUCAGUAUUUUAAGUCAUCAAGGUCCGAACAAGGAGGCAACCAGAGAACGAUUGGGGCCUCUCGUCUCUCAGUUCGAAUAUUUAUGUGUGGAAAACAAGUUAACAAAAGAGCAGCUGUUUCAAAAAGACACACUCAAACCGCCUCAAAGGGGAUGAAAUUCGACGAUGAUACAAUCCAAAUACUUGUAAACGAAGGAACUCUACGAGAAACGCCGGAAGCAAAUUUAAGAUUGACGGCUCAAUCAAUUGGCGUACAAACGACUGGAUUGAUGGUUCAUGACAAUCAUUGAUGGUUCAAUUCCAACGAUUUUCAGUGACGAACAGUACCAUCGCUAUUACUAUAAUUUUUUGUUCGACACUUUGUUUUUCUUUUCGCAUUUUUGGUUUACGAUAUAAAAAUAUUUGUUUCGUUCGAUGUGGGUGGCUCAACGAUGUGGAAAACAAUCGACACUCGGUAAAAUCACGAUUAUUUAAUUGCGAAUUACAGUCAAUUGUUUUCCAAGGCUCCGAGUGAUCGAACGUUAUCUGGUUUCUUAAUAAAAAAAAAGUUGAAGGGAUCCUGG